AUGACUGUGUGUAAUUGGAAAUUGGUUACCCUAAAAACUGCAUUUCCCAGGAGCCCACUGACUUCCUGUCAUUCUGUACUUCCUGUAGACAGAGGGAUAAAAUCCAGAGGGGCUCCUGGUCUCCCCUCUUUGCUUCCUGUCAGCGACUGUGGUGCUACAAGUUUGAACACUGAAGAGGCCAAAAGGACACAUUUGAAUACUGAGUUGGAAACUCUGAAAGCGGUUUUUGAGUGAACUAAAGGAUCUCGUGUCAGGUUCAGCCAGCCGCCCACGUCAGAAUCACAUUCACAGCGAAUACCCACCAAGUUUUUGCAGUUGAUGUGACGCAGUGGGUUGAGUUUCGUGAAAGGUCAAGCUGAGUACCAAGUGUCACCCGCACAUAUGCUAGCACAAAGAUCGGACUGUCUUUAAUUCCAAGUUUUCACCAGAGAUAAUCAUGGUUUUGCCACACUCCAGCUAUCUGGUGGGAAUUCUGCUGUGCUCAAGGGAGAUGUGCAUGGUGGGUGUGAGGAGGCAGAAGCAUCUUUCCAGGGUUGACCAGAAGGAAGUUCAAUCUAGAGUUGAAGCUGGGAAGGACCUUUGGAAAACGCUCGAUACUCCAUUUUACUAACGAGAAAACUGAAGCCUACAAAGGGUCAGUCAGUAAGUUAUCUAACUAGCAGAUGGCAGAACAGGGAUCCAGACAUGUUUCCCAAUUCCCAAUCCAUCAAUGUCCUUCCUACACCUUUGAGAAGCAUUUUGGGGAAAAUCCUAAAGUUCUGUAAUUGUAUUUUUGUCGUUUUUCUUUAUUUCUUCUCAUCAACAAGUAUUUAUUCUCCCUCCCUCCCUACUCUGAAAAAAACCCCAGAACUUUUGCUAUAAAUACACAGAGUCAAGGAAAGAAAACAUCAUUUAUUAAAAAUGUAUCAUGUGCAAAGUUCUUUUCUAAGUCUUAAAGAUCACAGACAAAAAAUGUAAAAUAAUCCCUAUCCUUAAGGACUUUCUAUUUAUUCUACCACAGGAUAACAUGCAAACAGGUAAGUAAAUGCAAGAAAACGUAGAGGGUACAGAGCACGAAUAGCUGAUAGGAACAGGAAGAAGCUGCAAGAAUCAAGUGUCAAUUGAUGUGACCUUUAUAAAAAGCUGAAGAUUCCAAGGAGAACAGUGUAGGAGAGAGUACAUUCUAGGCAAAAGUAUGGAAGCCAGUUUGGCGAACAUCAAGUAGUCAGUUUGACUGAAGAGUUUGUUAAAUAGGAAAUAAAUCCGGAAAGUUAACCUGGAAUGAGAUUGGG
This 1271-nucleotide long non-coding RNA is filed under the name Monodelphis domestica (gray short-tailed opossum). Its description in RNAcentral is "lncRNA (ENSMODG00000037399.1)". Lineage: Eukaryota; Metazoa; Chordata; Mammalia; Didelphimorphia; Didelphidae. The record is from RNAcentral.